Chlorocebus sabaeus (green monkey) is the source of this 4210-nucleotide long non-coding RNA. RefSeq lists it as uncharacterized. The record is from RefSeq and is a predicted model, not a curated record. Lineage: Eukaryota; Metazoa; Chordata; Mammalia; Primates; Cercopithecidae.
GGAGACAGGUACAGGGUCUUGCUCUGUUGCCCCAAGUUGGAGUGCAAUGGCAUGAUCAUAGCUCACUGUAACCUCAAACUCCUGGGCUCAAGUACCCCUCCUGGCUUAGCUUUCUCAGUCGUGGAGUAUCCUUUUUCUUCCCCAACCAUUGUAAACUUACCCCCCAGACUCCACUUUUUAAAUCCUUGUCUGGACACUAGGGCCUUUUCAUUGUGUUAGGGAGACUCAGAAAAGGAAAAUGUUAUAAAAGACCAGUUUUCCCUGAUGGCUAAACAAUUAGUGGUGUAAUUUACCAAAGAAUUGCAGCCUGCGAGACACAAGGUGCUGAAUAAAGCCAAGCAAAUAGUUUCUUUACUCUUCUUAGCUUAGGAAAGUGGAUAUGAAGGGAAGGAUGUUAACUGUCUCAGGAUAUGUUGUGGGCAUUUGCCUUUGACAGAAGGACCUCCUAGGAUGAGGGAAGGGGAAGUGGUGCUGACAGCAAGCAGGAGAAGAGGACCCAACAGCUGGCUGCUCUUCAUCCCUCAGAGAAUGGCAUGGAAAGAGAGCAAAUAAUUUCAAAAUAUCUGGAAAAACAUUUAGACAGCACAGACAAUUUAUUUGGAACCUCCAUAUCAGGAAAUUACUUCUCUAAUGCAGUGACUUACUACCGAAAAGAAAGAAAAAAGUCUCUUAUGUUUGCAAAAUGUACUUUGCACAGUGCCUCAAACUUAGACCUAGCGGUCUAAUGAGAAUGUGGCUCAUUAAAUUUCUCAAAGGGAGGAAAGGGACCCAGGAAGUGUCCCCCAGAUCUAGUUCACAGCCUAAGGAAAAAAUGCCUGUGCCUUACUAUCAAAGGGUAUAAGAAAAUAGCAUUAAUCUCCAUUGUCCUGAUUAAUGAUUAAUCACUCCUAAAGGUAUAAACAGAAAAUUCAGGCCCGUUACCACCCUCCUAGGAGGAGUGCCAGCAUAUUUUACAGUCCACAAAAUCCUGCGCAAAUCUCCCUUCCCCAUUCACACCUCAGAGGCACAAGAGUAAGCCAAGUUAUUUGAACCAUGAUUUUGCUAUUCAUAUAUAUCGAAGCGCUUUCAUGUUCUCACAAAACUUGAGGCCUUGAAAGUAAGAUUUAUGCCCUGCCAGGAAAACUGGUUUUAAUGUAGUCCCACUACUGCUAUUGAGUAAACUCUUCAGAAGAGCCAUCAAGUCUUAAGAAAUCAGACAUAGCAGAGCCCCUACAGAACUAAAACACAUUUCCCCCUAACCAGGAUUCACCUGCACUUCAGGCUGAGACUUUUUUCCUAGGGCUCAAUACCCACCUCCUGCCUGGUGAGGUAUCUUUCCUCCCAAGCGCCCUCAACACCUUUUACACAUCUGCCAUGAUACGUAACUUCUUGUACUGAAAUUGUCUAAUGAUAUAUUUGUCUCUCCCCAAUUACACCACACUGUCCUUGAGCAGGAAACAGAAUCUUUUUCAGUUUUAUUAGGUUUGUGCAAAAGUAAUUGCAGUUGUGCACUGCAAUUACUUUUGCACCAACAUAAUAGUUUCCCAGUGCUUACAAUACAUAGUAGGUGCUAGUUAAUAUUUUUUGAAUGGAAUGGAAUUGAAUUCAUCUGAGCCAGUUUCCUGCCCAGCCUGGAAUGGCACUGGGACAGGUGCCAUACAAGGCUCCACACCCAGCUAUGGUGCCAUUCUGGUAACCUUUAGUAAGCCAUUCCCUAUGGGAGAUAUCAUUACUGUACAACCCAGGAAUCAUAAAAGUUGCCACCUGGAUCAGUAGAAACAAUAAAAACAUAUAUCCCUUUCUAUAAAGUACCCUAAGCUCUUCAGAGGAGAGAAGGAUGUGUUUGGUUCAAGGUUUUUACAAAGAAGAUGGUAUAUUAGCCAGCCCAGUAGAAUCUCACAAAUAGGACAGGACUUUACUACAUGGCAUAUACUUUUUUAAAAAAAUAAACUUUUUAAUUUAGAAAAGUUUUAGAUUUACAGAAAAAUUGCAAAUAUAGUACAGCGAGUUCCCAACCGUUCUGCACCAGUUUCCCUUUCAUUGACAUCUUACAUUAGCAUGGUUCAUUUGCCACAAUUAAUGAGCCAAUACUGAUGCAUUAUGGUUAACUAUAUUCAGAUUUCCUUAGGUUUUACCUGGUGUCCUUUUUCUGUUCCAGGAUCCCAUCCAGGAUACUAUGUUACAAAUAAUUCUCAUGUCUCUGCUUGGUGGUGACACUUUCUCAGGUUUUCCUUGUUCUUGAUGACUGUGACAGUUUUAAGGAGUGCUGGUCAGGUAUUUUGUAGGAUGCCCCUCAAUUGGGAUUUGUUUGAAGCUUUUCUUAUAUUAGACUACAUUAUGGGUUUAAGGGAGGAAGAUUACGGAAGUAAAAGUCCUGGAGAACUGGCCUUGGAGUCACGAGCCAGAGGCUCUCCUGGGCGUUUGAUAGUGAGCUGAGAUGAAGGAAGGACCAACCAAAAGAAACAAGCCUCUGGCGUGGAAGACAGAACAACCUGGGUGGCUGAUGCAGUGGAAGACAUCACCUAAGGGAUUUUAUUAUCUUUUGUGAGUAAUGAAAGACUGGCAUGUGGAAUAACAAGAUUGAAAUAUGACCACAAUCAAAGGCACCUGAGCAAAGAAACACACCCAGGCCCUUCUGAGUGGUUGAGCCUUGAAAAGUAAAGGCAGAUAGUGGACAGUUUUUAAAUACGAGACAAGAGUAGUGGGUGGUGGCUAGGACCAUGGAGUCACCUGGCUCUGCCACCUUCCCUCCUAAUGACUUUGAGUAGGUCACUCCACCAUUUGUGCCUCAGGGUGAUUAUCUCUAAAAGGCAAAUACAACAGUACCUUGCAAAGUUUUGUGAGGAUUAAGUAGGAUGAUAUCAGUAAGCACUUAAAAUGGUGCCUUGCCUAUAAUGAUUGCUUAAAAAAUAUUAGCUGUUAUUAUUAAAUUAAGAUGUGAGCAGAGCUCACUGGGGAGUCAUCCUAAAGUUAAGACCCAAAGGCUCAGAGGCUUUUAAAUAAAUUAGCUGGGGGAAAAAUAGAUUUCUCGAAAAAAUUCAGGAAAUUUCCCUUUAAAAAAACAAAAAGACUUAGUUACAACCCCCACACACCUGCUGGCAGGUGGAGCCAAUCACAGCAGGAGAGGGCAGAUGCCUGGAGUUUCUCAGGAGCAUGGCUCAGACCUCCUCAUGUCUUAUCCCACACGAUUUAAAUUUAGAAUCCUAUUCAGAGGACAAUUAACCAAAACUAAGUAUACUGUACUGUCUAGGGUCAUGAACUAGAACCAAGCCAACUUGGCCUUUAUUGGAACAGUGAACUUGGGACUCCAGCUCUUGAACCAGCCAGCAAAUGACCUGUUGACUCAAGCAAGUUUCGACUUGCACCCUCAUCUCAGAGCUCUGGUCUUUCAUCUCUGAAGAAGAUGAUGGGAAACAAAUGUGAUUUCUCCUCUUCAUACUCCUUUUCUCAUUUAUUCUGCGGGUGUUAUAUUAUAGGUGGUACAAGUGAAUAAUAACAAUAGAGGAUUCACUGAGCCUUUAGUCUGUGUUGGCUACAAUUCUAAGCUCUUUACAUAUAUUAACUCAUUUAAUCCUUGUAACAGGUCUCUGAGUCAAUACUGUUACCGGGUCCAUUUUUACAGAUGAGUAAACUGAGGUAUAGAAAAAUGAGUUGCUAAAAGUCUCAUAGCUAUGACAUGGCUAUAUUAGUUGUGACUAGGCUUGGUUGUAUGAAAACUCAAAUAACAUGGUUUAAUCAAUUAAUCAAGUUAUAGUUUAAUUGUCUCUGGAGUAAAUGAAGAUAGAAGGUAGGUAGUCAACAGUUGGAAUGGAAGCUCCACCAUCCUUAGAUUCAGGCUCCUCCCUCUUUCCUCUCCAGCCAUUUUAGUGAAUGACUUCUAUCCUCAGGUUCUCCUCAGUAGUCCAAGAUGGUGGUUGGAUGUCAGGUAUCAGAACGGUAUUUCAGUUAGAAGGAAAGGAAAGAGAGGGCAAUAUGGCUCUCCCAGAAGCUGGACAUAAAAACUUCCAUUGAUACCUCAUUGGUCAACCCUUUCUGCAAAGAAAGCUGCAAAGCGGCUUUUCCCUUUUUUUUUAAGUUGGGCACAUUUCUCAAAGUUCUGUUACAAAGAAGGAGGAAACGUAAAUAUUGAACCCAUGUACCAUAAAAUACAGUUUCUUGGACUAUAACUGUGGUGUUGGUUGGCAGGUGAAGACAUAACUGUGUCACCGUAUUUAUUUCCCACUAGGAAUAG